UCGUGGUGUAGUGGUCAGCACGCUGGGCGCGUAUUCCAGAGGUCCGUGGUUCGAGUCCCGGCGA
Molecule: transfer RNA, 64 nt
Filed under: Stegodyphus mimosarum
Lineage: Eukaryota; Metazoa; Arthropoda; Arachnida; Araneae; Eresidae
Rfam family: tRNA
About the family: Transfer RNA (tRNA) molecules are approximately 80 nucleotides in length. Their secondary structure includes four short double-helical elements and three loops (D, anti-codon, and T loops).
Source: Rfam by way of RNAcentral